AUUCACUGUCUGAUGAAUUUAAGUUUAAACAAGAUAUUGCUUUUGAUUACCUCUGCUGAGCUGCUUAGGAAGUUAGCUAGAGUGACGAAGAUGUGUCAUCACAGCAGAAUAAGUGUAAAAAGCAAGUUGUUCAGCAAAACGAGUGCCUUGCAUUAUUUACCACUAUUUUACGAUAUUGAGCUGAUGAUACCUGGUAAACCUGCAAUUUGUUUUUAUGUAGACUUCAUGGUUUUUGAGUUACGUCAAAAAUAAAAAUAGGUACGAUAGAAA
Daphnia carinata is the source of this 270-nucleotide long non-coding RNA. RefSeq lists it as uncharacterized. The record is from RefSeq and is a predicted model, not a curated record. NCBI's taxonomy places the organism in Eukaryota, Metazoa, Arthropoda, Branchiopoda, Diplostraca, Daphniidae. The transcript has 2 exons.